Molecule: ribosomal RNA, 794 nt
Filed under: Marinobacter sp. ANT_B65
Lineage: Bacteria; Pseudomonadati; Pseudomonadota; Gammaproteobacteria; Pseudomonadales; Marinobacteraceae
Description: bacterial SSU rRNA
Rfam family: Bacterial small subunit ribosomal RNA
Source: RNAcentral
AAACUGAAGAGUUUGAUCAUGGCUCAGAUUGAACGCUGGCGGCAGGCUUAACACAUGCAAGUCGAGCGGAAACGAUGGUAGCUUGCUACCAGGCGUCGAGCGGCGGACGGGUGAGUAAUGCUUAGGAAUCUGCCCAGUAGUGGGGGAUAGCCCGGGGAAACCCGGAUUAAUACCGCAUACGCCCUUUUGGGGAAAGCAGGGGAUCUUCGGACCUUGCGCUAUUGGAUGAGCCUAAGUCGGAUUAGCUAGUUGGUGGGGUAAUGGCCCACCAAGGCGACGAUCCGUAGCUGGUCUGAGAGGAUGAUCAGCCACAUCGGGACUGAGACACGGCCCGAACUCCUACGGGAGGCAGCAGUGGGGAAUAUUGGACAAUGGGGGCAACCCUGAUCCAGCCAUGCCGCGUGUGUGAAGAAGGCUUUCGGGUUGUAAAGCACUUUCAGUGAGGAGGAAGGCUUUCAGAUUAAUACUCUGGAGGAUUGACGUUACUCACAGAAGAAGCACCGGCUAACUCCGUGCCAGCAGCCGCGGUAAUACGGAGGGUGCAAGCGUUAAUCGGAAUUACUGGGCGUAAAGCGCGCGUAGGUGGUUGAGUAAGCGAGAUGUGAAAGCCCCGGGCUUAACCUGGGAACGGCACUUCGAACUGCUCGGCUAGAGUGUGGUAGAGGGUAGUGGAAUUUCCUGUGUAGCGGUGAAAUGCGUAGAUAUAGGAAGGAACACCAGUGGCGAAGNCGGCUACCUGGACCAACACUGACACUGAGGUGCGAAAGCGUGGGGAGCAAAAAGGAUUAGAUACC